AUGGCCUCCUCCCCGCCCCCCUCCUCCUCCCGCACCCCCGCCGCCGCGCGCCGGGGCGGCCGCGCGGCGCGCCAGUCGCCCUUCUUCCGGGACCUCGCCUCCCCCAUCCCGUCCCACCGCGGCGGCGGCUCCCGCUUCGCCUCCCCCGCGGCCGCCGCCCCGCCCUCCGCCACGCCGCCGCCGCCGCCCCUCUUCACGCUCGACGACCGCUUCGCCGCCGCCGACUUCUCGCCCGACCCCACCGCCUCCGACCUGCUCCCCGUCGCCUCCUCCCCCUCCCCCCGCGCCGGGGCGGGCGCCGGCAGCCGCUCGCCCUCAUGGGACCGCUCCCGCGGCAAGGCCUCCGCCCCCGGAUCCCCCAUGGACGGGGUCGUCGAGCCGCCCCGCAAGGAGCUGCUCGCGCUGCCCCCGCCGUCCAGCCCCUGCACUCCUCCUCCCCCGACGGCCACGGCCGCGGCCGGCGAGGCGCCGUCGCCCGUGACCCCGGCGACGGAGGCUGCUAGGACGGAGCCGGCGGCUCCGGCGAGCGAAGGGAAGGCAGAUGGCGAGGAGUGGGUCACUGUAUUCGGAUUCUCGCUUAGAGAUACCAACCUCGUUCUCCGAGAGUUCGAGAAAUGUGGUGUUAUAUUGAGACAUCACUCUGGCCCAAGAGAGGGUAAUUGGAUCCACAUAUUAUACCAGCACUCUUACGAUGCAAGGAAAGCCCUUCAAAAGAAUGGUAUCCAGCUAUGCAGUGGCGUCAUAAUUGGAGUAAAGCAUAUUGAUCCAGUGCACCGGCAGCAGCUGGAUGAUAGGCUCGCUGGAAUUAAUCAAGGAGGCUUCAUGGUCUCACUGCCUUCGAAAUCACUUGUCCUGAAGAGCAGCACAGGUGCAUCAAACCAGUUGGGAGCCUUGCCGCGCCCGUAUGAUCCGAAGUCUUCCACAAACGUUAUCAGAGACGCAGGGCGUCGUACAACAGGCAGCGUUGCCGCGCCAGCGAAAUCUAUUGUAACGAAUGUGAUGGACUUGAUAUUCGGCAUCUAG
RNAcentral lists this ribosomal RNA (1023 nucleotides) under Triticum aestivum (bread wheat). RNAcentral describes it as "partial small subunit ribosomal RNA". Lineage: Eukaryota; Viridiplantae; Streptophyta; Magnoliopsida; Poales; Poaceae. The record is from RNAcentral.